CCAAAUCUAUUCAGCAUCGAAUGGUCGCCAAGUCCCCGUAACUUCAAUUGAAUUCUCUUGUGGUGAGAAAGCUCAGCUCUCUCGCUAUAUAUAAAGAAGCGACGAGGUCUCAUCACAUUCACUUGCUUUGCUUCUGACACAGACACUCAUUCACCAAGAGAGCAGACACACAAAAUUUUUGUAAGAGAGAUAGAGAGCGUUGCGUUAUAAUGGCGGCGACGAGACUCGACUCGACUCGACUAGAGAGCAACAACACAACACAAUGUAUCUGAAAUUUUGAACAUCAAAAGCAGAGGGGUACGGUUCUUUUUUGAGUCUCGUUGAUGAUGGUGUUUUGAAGAAUGGAGAAGAUCCAUAACAAUACACAAUUACUAGCUAGAUGUUGAGCUAGUCAAUGCCAGCUUGUGGGAAGUUAUCCUAGAACACACUUAUGCCCUAAGGCGGAUUCCAACGCUCAUGUUAUUCUUAGGCUUAAUACUGUUGCAAUUUGUGUACAAUGGAGUCCAAAAGAUUUUGAGCUACUCAAUGCCAGCCUGUGGGAAGUUAUCCUAGAACUGUGGACAAUACACUUAUGCGCUUUUGGAAUGCUUCUUCAAGUUACGUUUGGAUCCUGCAAAAGAGGAAGAUGGAGUCCAAAAGAUCUUGAGCUAGUCAAUGCCAGCAUGUAGGAAGUUAUCCUAGAAGUGUGGAAAACACUUAUGCACUAUGUGCAUUGAAUGCAGUCUGUGGGGAAGUUAUCCUAGAACUGCGGACAGAACUCACAACAGUCAUAUGCGGUUGGUUUCUCUCUGUCCAAACAUUGAUGAAUCUAUAAGACUAUAGGUCAUCUCAAAACCAGUGAGAGAGGUAACAGGUCAUCCAAAAGACACCUUUGAAAAGGCUAUCCAGAGAAGGCCUAACAUAUACGGCAAAGACCAUUUGCAGGUUUUAGUGCCAUAUGCGGAUAACUUGUUGAAGUUGGAGAACAGCUCAAUGGGAAAAGUUGUUGGCAACUUGAUUCUUAUUAUGGUAAUGGAGAGGUUGAGAGAUCUCGAUGUGGAGAGUGGGUUGGAUGAUACGCUUCAAGAUGACUCCACUAGAAAGGUGUUUGAUAUGGAACUUGAAGUUUCAGUUGAAGGCACUAUGAAUAAAGUUUCCAGAGCGAGUCUCUAAAUCAAAAUAGAAAUGUAGUCUCUGAGUUGUUGGACCAUCUGUCAAAAUGCUGGUCGUCUGGAUGAGGUGUUGGAAAUUUCCUUCGAGUCGUUUGAGAACUUAAUUCUCAACACGCGCAAAUUAAAAAAUUUCACAGUUCCCGAUGUUCUAUGCAUGCUCACUAGAUCCUGAAAGUUGUGGUGCUAAAUUUUCCAGUAAGCUGUUGGACGUAUAUCUUUCCUGCAAUAAUCCUCAAGUUACUAGAAGCGCAGUGGAUUAUCUAGCUAGCUACUUGUCCCGUGCAAAGUUUUUACCUGCUUCUUUUGUCGCUAGCAUGUUUAAAAGAUUGGUGGAAGAAUGUGCGGAUUAUUGCAAAACAUGCAAUGAUGAUGCUAAGCCUGAAGAAGUACAUCAAGUUUUCAGUUCAGGAUGUCAGCAUCUGGAGUGAUACACAAUUAUGUCAAGACACUCAUCCGCCAAGAGAGCAAAACAAAAAUUUGUAAGAGAUAGAGAGCGUUGUGUUAUAAUGGCGACGACGAGACUCGAGAUCAACACAUAUAUCAACAUCAAAGCUAGCAGAGGCGUACGAUAUCUUUUGAGUCUCGUUGAUGGCCUUUGAAGAAUGAAAGAAGAUUCAGAACAACAAAAGUACGUACGUUUGGAUCCUGGAAGGAGGAAGAUACGCUCAUGUUAUUCUUAGGCUGAAAUCAUGCUGCACUCUGUGCCCAACGGAGUCCAAGCGCCAUCUGUUUUCUGUAAUUUGAUAAAUUGAGUUUGGAAUGCUUCUUGAAGGGGGACGUGUGGAGCCUGGAAGGAGGAAGAUGGGUACCAACGCUCAUGUUAUUCUUAGACUGAAUCCUGCUGCACUUUGUUCCUAAUGAGUCCAAAAGAUGUUGAGCUAGUCAAUGCCACUUGUGGGAAAAGUUAUCCUGGAACUGUGGACAACACUUAUGCGCUAUACUCUUGAAAAUUCUAUCAUGCUCUGCUGCUUUCUUCGAUAAAGUUCACCAUGAAAAGCUUCUCCCUCAUAUUUUUGGAAUGAAGAUAUGAGAUUACAAAGCUAAUGCCACUACUAGUGGAAAGUAUCUGAACACGCACAAAUCAAAAGUUUCACAGGAAGCUGUUGAACAUUUAUUCUAGCAACAAAACUCUAGAUACUAGUACGUGGUUUUAUUUUUUCCCUUACUAAACAGGAGGAGUGCCGUGGAUUAUCUAGCUAGCUACUUUUGUGGCUAGCAUGUUAAAAACAUAGAGAGAGACUGCUGUAAAAAAACUGACAGAAGAUUGGUGACAACUUGGCAAAAGAGAUCAUAAAUCACCAAUCACUCGAGACUCAACCAUAUGAAUAUCAACCGGUGGAAGGAGGUGAUGUUGAGCCCUACCCAGUACCCAUCUUGUCAUUGCCACAUAAAUAUCUUGCCCGUUGCCAACUACUCAACUUUAAACGCAGACUUGCUGAGAGUCUGGUAAGCGCUUAGCAUUUCGAAUUAUGGUCUGCGUUUGAGAUUCUUUCAAAUCCUUUUUUUUUUCAGGCGAGAUUUUUCUUCCUGCAGCUUGUAUCAUGUAGUAUGAGAAUGAAGUUUUCCUUCUCAGUACAAAGAGUUGGUGUUUUCACGAGACGUAUAGCCAGCUUUGAGCUUUGGUGCUUUCUGUUUGACGAAGAAGAACGCAGAGAGAACACUCUUUUUCCGGACAGGAGCUUGAAUGAUCUCUCGUCGUGGGUUAUUGUCAAGUGACUUGUGUGCUGCCAGAAGUUUGGGAACCUCCAAAUCCUGAGGAAGCCACAAACUUGUCUUAUC
Molecule: non-coding RNA, 2930 nt
Organism: Camelina sativa (false flax)
Lineage: Eukaryota; Viridiplantae; Streptophyta; Magnoliopsida; Brassicales; Brassicaceae
Source: RefSeq, a predicted model, not a curated record